UACGUAGGGGACGAGCGUUGUCCGGAUUCAUUGGGCGUAAAGCGCGCGUAGGCGGCUCGGAAAGUCGGGCGUGAAAUGCCGGGGCUCAACCCCGGGACUGCGUCCGAUACUGGCAGGCUUGAAUCCGGGAGAGGGAUGUGGAAUUCCAGGUGUAGCGGUGAAAUGCGUAGAUAUCUGGAGGAACACCGGUGGCGAAGGCGGCAACCUGGACCGGUAUUGACGCUGAGGCGCGAAAGCCAGGGGAGCAAACGGG
RNAcentral lists this ribosomal RNA (253 nucleotides) under uncultured bacterium. Its description in RNAcentral is "partial 16S ribosomal RNA". It matches the Rfam family "Bacterial small subunit ribosomal RNA", at positions 524 to 776 of the family's 1533-position model. The record is from RNAcentral.